AGUCGUACGAGACGUUUCAGCUUGCUGAAACUAGUAAAGUGGCGCACGGGUGAGUAACGCGUGGGUAAUCUACCUCCGAAUUGGGGAUAACACUGCGAAAGCGAUGCUAAUACCGGAUAAUAUCUCAAUCACUUCGGUUUUUGAGAUCAAAGGUGGCCUCUCCUUGGAAGCUUCUGUUUGGAGAUGAGCCCGCGUACCAUUAGCUUGUUGGUAGGGUAAUGGCCUACCAAGGCAACGAUGGUUAGCUGGUCUGAGAGGAUGAUCAGCCACACUGGAACUGACACACGGUCCAGACUCCUACGGGAGGCAGCAGUGAGGAAUUUUGCGCAAUGGGGGAAACCCUGACGCAGCAACGCCGCGUGAGUGAUGAAGGCUUUCGGGUCGUAAAGCUCUGUCAAGUGGGAAGAACCUGCCCUUUGCUAAUAUCACUGGGCACUGACGGUACCACUGAAGGAAGCACCGGCUAACUCCGUGCCAGCAGCCGCGGUAACACGGGGGGUGCAAGCGUUAUUCGGAAUCACUGGGCGUAAAGAGCGCGUAGGCGGUCUUUUAAGUCAGAUGUGAAAGCCCGGGGCUCAACCCCGGAAGUGCAUUUGAAACUAAGGGACUUGAGUAUGGGAGAGGGAAGUGGAAUUCCUGGUGUAGCGGUGAAAUGCGUAGAUAU
RNAcentral lists this ribosomal RNA (664 nucleotides) under uncultured bacterium. RNAcentral's name for it is "bacterial SSU rRNA". It matches the Rfam family "Bacterial small subunit ribosomal RNA", at positions 60 to 697 of the family's 1533-position model. The record is from RNAcentral.